UGGUGGGUCCCUGAGAUGCC
This 20-nucleotide unclassified non-coding RNA is filed under the name Chlamydomonas reinhardtii. RNAcentral describes it as "small RNA Cre_3486". Lineage: Eukaryota; Viridiplantae; Chlorophyta; Chlorophyceae; Chlamydomonadales; Chlamydomonadaceae. The record is from RNAcentral.